Molecule: ribosomal RNA, 468 nt
Filed under: uncultured bacterium
Lineage: Bacteria
Description: partial 16S ribosomal RNA
Rfam family: Bacterial small subunit ribosomal RNA
Source: RNAcentral
GACGAACGCUGGCGGCGUGCUUAACACAUGCAAGUCGAACGGAAAGGCCCUGCUUUUGUGGGGUUCUCGAUUGGCGAACGGGGGAGUAACACGUGAGUAACCUGCCCUUGUCUUUGUGAUAACUUCAGGAAACUGGGGCUAAUGCCGGAUAGGAUCUCCUGCUGCAUGUUGGUGGUUGGAAAGCGUCGGCGGUUGUGGAUGGACUCGCGGCUUAUCAGCUUGUUUGUGGGGUAGUUGCUUACCAAGGCUUUGACGGGUAGCCGGCCUGAGAGGGUGACCGGCGACAUUGGGACUGAGAUACGGACCAGACUCCUACGGGAGGCAGAAGUGGGGAAUAUUGCACAAUGGGCGGAAGCGUGAGGCAGCAACGCCGCGUGCGGGAUGACGGCCUUCGGGUUGUAAACCGAUUUCGAAUGUGACGAAGAGUGAGUGACGGUAAUGGGUCAAGAAGCACCGGCUAACUACGUG